UUUUGGACAAUGGGCGCAAGCCUGAUCCAGCAAUGCCGCGUGCAGGAAGAAGGCCUUCGGGUUGUAAACUGCUUUUGUACGGAACGACCCGCCCCCUGGUUAAUACCUGGGGCUAAUGACGGUACCGUAAGAAUAAGCACCGGCUAACUACGUGCCAGCAGCCGCGGUCAUACGGAGGAUCCAAGCGUUAUCCGGAGUGACUGGGCGUAAAGAGUUGCGUAGGUGGUUAUGUAAGUGAAUAGUGAAACCUGGUGGCUCAACCAUACAGACUAUUAUUCAAACUGCAUAACUCGAGAAUGGUAGAGGUAGCUGGAAUUUCUAGUGUAGGAGUGAAAUCCGUAGAUAUUAGAAGGAACACCAAUGGCGUAGGCAGGCUACGGACCAUUUCUACAUAAGGCACGAA
RNAcentral lists this ribosomal RNA (403 nucleotides) under uncultured bacterium. RNAcentral describes it as "bacterial SSU rRNA". It matches the Rfam family "Bacterial small subunit ribosomal RNA", at positions 362 to 757 of the family's 1533-position model. The record is from RNAcentral.